Molecule: ribosomal RNA, 253 nt
Filed under: uncultured bacterium
Lineage: Bacteria
Description: partial 16S ribosomal RNA
Rfam family: Bacterial small subunit ribosomal RNA
Source: RNAcentral
UACGAAGGGGGCUAGCGUUGCUCGGAAUCACUGGGCGUAAAGCGCACGUAGGCGGCUUUUUAAGUCAGGGGUGAAAUCCUGGAGCUCAACUCCAGAACUGCCUUUGAUACUGGGAAGCUCGAGUCCGGGAGAGGUGAGUGGAACUCCGAGUGUAGAGGUGAAAUUCGUAGAUAUUCGGAAGAACACCAGUGGCGAAGGCGGCAUCCUGGACCGGCAUUGACGCUGAGGAGCGAAAGCCAGGGGAGCAAACGGG